Molecule: ribosomal RNA, 477 nt
Filed under: Brontispa longissima
Lineage: Eukaryota; Metazoa; Arthropoda; Insecta; Coleoptera; Chrysomelidae
Description: partial 12S small subunit ribosomal RNA
Source: RNAcentral
UCAUGUAAUUUAAUUAUUAUUUUUUGGGUGUGAUUAAUUUGGAGUUUUUAGAAAAUUGAAUUUUUAGGUGAAAUUUAAAUUUAAUAUGGAAGUUAGGUGAGAUCAGUAAGUUAACUAAUUGACUGGGAUUAGAUACCCCAUUAAAAUAAUAUAAUUUUAAUCCCAUAUUAUUAAAAGUUAUGGUCUUUAAAAUAAAAGAAUUUGGCGGUAUUUUAAACUUUUCAGAGGAACCUGUUCUGUAAUUGAUAAUCCACGAUUAGAUUAACUUUUUUUAUAUUUAUAUAUCGUUGUGUAAAGCAUGUUCAAGUAUGAUGUUUAAGGUCUUUUUAAGAGGGUAUUUCAGAUCAAGGUGUAGUAUAAUAAAGAAGAAAUGGGUUACAUUGUUUUUAAAACGAUAAAAUUAAUUUUAAAUUAUUUUUAAACUUGGAUUUGAAAGUAAAUUGAAAUAAGUAUUUUACUUGAUUUAAGUUCUAAAAU